ACGAGAGGAACUGCUCAUUCACAUAAUUGGUCUUUGCGCCUGUCCGAUCGGGCAAUGGCGCGAAGCUAUCAUGUGCUAGAUUAUGGCUGAACGCCUCUAAGUCAGAAUCUGUGCUAGAAACGAUGAUGUUGGUCCCGCACAUGUUAGACGUGUUACAAUAGAGCUUUGCUCGUGAACCAUACCUGGCAGUCCUGGCCCGGCGAGCGGAAAUGCUUGUUGGGUCUUCUGCGAAUCGAAAUUUCAAUAUGGGCGGGGGUGAAUCCUUUGCAGACGACUUAAAUG
This 282-nucleotide ribosomal RNA is filed under the name Pycnococcus provasolii. Its description in RNAcentral is "partial Eukaryotic large subunit ribosomal RNA". It matches the Rfam family "Eukaryotic large subunit ribosomal RNA", at positions 3034 to 3322 of the family's 3401-position model. The record is from RNAcentral. Lineage: Eukaryota; Viridiplantae; Chlorophyta; Pseudoscourfieldiophyceae; Pseudoscourfieldiales; Pycnococcaceae.